CGCGCAGGCGGCCAAGUCAGUCGAAUGUGAAAGCCCCCGGCUCAACUGGGGAAGGUCGUUCGAUACUGCCUGGCUCGAAGAUAGGAGAGGGAAGUGGAAUUUCAGGUGUAGUGGUGAAAUGCGUAGAUAUCUGAAGGAACACCAGUGGCGAAGGCGACUUUCUGGCCUAUUCUUGACGCUGAGGCGCGAAAGCUAGGGGAGCGAACG
RNAcentral lists this ribosomal RNA (207 nucleotides) under uncultured bacterium. Its description in RNAcentral is "partial 16S ribosomal RNA". It matches the Rfam family "Bacterial small subunit ribosomal RNA", at positions 568 to 774 of the family's 1533-position model. The record is from RNAcentral.